AAUGUCUGUUGAACUGAAUGAGUGAGGGUCAUGUUGCUCUCUCGCUUAAAAACCUUCCAUGGCUCCCUAUUGCCUUCAACAUGCCUCCUCUGGGCAGCUUGGCGUUCCUGCCUCAUCUUCCACUGCCACCACCCAUCCCACACACCUCCUCCUGUAGCUGCGCUGGGUCGGCUCCCCGUCGGCUGAGCUCUCGAGUCCUUUCCCAUCAUGGUGCUCUGCUCAUAUCAUCCCCCUUGCUGCCUCCUCCGUGUUACCAAGACUCAGUUCAGGCAUGAAGUCUCCGUGGGCUCUGAGGGUUCGGGGCUCUUCCGGGGUAGAAUUUGUCGUUCCCACCUCUGUUCUCCAUGGCACUUUGUACAGACUCCUGUACAAAGACCUCUGUACAUGUGUCACGCUGUUUUGUGAUCAUGUGUUUCUGUGUCUGUCUCCCUCAGUAGACUGUGAGCUCCUCGAGGGCAGGAACCGUGUCUUACUCAUCUCUGUAUUCCCAGCGCCUAGCACAGUGCCUGGCACAGAGUACGUUGUUCAUAUAUGUGUGUUGAGUGCAUGACGGGGUGGGGGGAGAUGAGGAGUUGCUGGGACUGGGAACAUUCGUGCCUAGGACAGUGCCUCGCAUUAUGUAGGUUCUCAGUAAGAGUGAAUGGUGUGUCUGUGUGAGUGGGGGGCCACGAGGCAUGUGCAUGUCCAGCAAAGGGCUCAUUACCCCUGCCCCCCCAGCCCUACCUACAAGUGGAAGCGGCAGGUGACUCAGCGGAACCCUGUGGGACAGAAAAAGCGCAAGAUGUCCCUGUUGUUUGACCACCUGGAGCCCAUGGAGCUGGCGGAGCAUCUCACCUACUUGGAGUAUCGCUCCUUCUGCAAGAUCCUGUUUCAGGACUAUCACAGUUUCGUGACUCAUGGCUGCACUGUGGACAACCCCGUCCUGGAGCGGUUCAUCUCCCUCUUCAACAGCGUCUCGCAGUGGGUGCAGCUCAUGAUCCUCAGCAAACCCACAGCCCCGCAGCGGGCCCUGGUCAUCACACACUUUGUCCACGUGGCGGAGAAGCUGCUACAGCUGCAGAACUUCAACACGCUGAUGGCAGUGGUCGGGGGCCUGAGCCACAGCUCCAUCUCCCGCCUCAAGGAGACCCACAGCCACGUUAGCCCUGAGACCAUCAAGCUCUGGGAGGGUCUCACGGAACUAGUGACGGCGACAGGCAACUAUGGCAACUACCGGCGUCGGCUGGCAGCCUGUGUGGGCUUCCGCUUCCCUAUCCUGGGUGUGCACCUCAAGGACCUGGUGGCCCUGCAGCUGGCACUGCCUGACUGGCUGGACCCAGCCCGGACCCGGCUCAACGGGGCCAAGAUGAAGCAGCUCUUUAGCAUCCUGGAGGAGCUGGCCAUGGUGACCAGCCUGCGGCCACCAGUACAGGCCAACCCCGACCUGCUGAGCCUGCUCACGGUGUCUCUGGAUCAGUAUCAGACGGAGGAUGAGCUGUACCAGCUGUCCCUGCAGCGGGAGCCGCGCUCCAAGUCCUCGCCAACCAGCCCCACGAGUUGCACCCCACCACCCCGGCCCCCGGUGCUGGAGGAGUGGACCUCGGCUGCCAAACCCAAGCUGGAUCAGGCCCUCGUGGUGGAGCACAUCGAGAAGAUGGUGGAGUCUGUGUUCCGGAACUUUGACGUCGAUGGGGAUGGCCACAUCUCACAGGAAGAAUUCCAGAUCAUCCGUGGGAACUUCCCUUACCUCAGCGCCUUUGGGGACCUCGACCAGAACCAGGAUGGCUGCAUCAGCAGGGAGGAGAUGGUUUCCUAUUUCCUGCGCUCCAGCUCUGUGUUGGGGGGCCGCAUGGGCUUCGUACACAACUUCCAGGAGAGCAACUCCUUGCGCCCCGUCGCCUGCCGCCACUGCAAAACCCUGAUCCUGGGCAUCUACAAGCAGGGCCUCAAAUGCCGAGCCUGUGGUGUGAACUGCCACAAGCAGUGCAAGGAUCGCCUGUCAGUUGAGUGUCGGCGCAGGGCCCAGAGUGUGAGCCUGGAGGGGUCUGCACCCUCACCCUCACCCACGCACAGCCACCAUCACCGCGCCUUCAGCUUCUCUCUGCCCCGCCCUGGCAGGCGAGGCUCCAGGCCUCCAGCAGAGAUCCGUGAGGAGGAGGUACAGACGGUGGAGGAUGGGGUGUUUGACAUCCACUUGUAAUAGAUGCUGUGGUUGGAUCAAGGACUCAUUCCUGCCUUGGAGAAAAUACUUCAACCAGAGCAGGGAGCCUGGGGGUGUCGGGGCAGGAGGCUGGGGAUGGGGGUGGGAUAUGAGGGUGGCAUGCAGCUGAGGGCAGGGCCAGGGCUGGUGUCCCUAAGGUUGUACAGACUCUUGUGAAUAUUUGUAUUUUCCAGAUGGAAUAAAAAGGCCCGUGUAAUUAACCUUCA
This 2406-nucleotide small RNA is filed under the name Pan troglodytes (chimpanzee). RNAcentral's name for it is "retained intron". The record is from RNAcentral. Lineage: Eukaryota; Metazoa; Chordata; Mammalia; Primates; Hominidae.